GACGAACGCUGGCGGCGUGCUUAACACAUGCAAGUCGAACGGAAAGGCCUCUUUUGGGGGGUACGCGAGUGGCGAACGGGUGUGUAACACGUGAGUACAAUGCGCCUGUCUCUGGGAUAAAUUCAGGAGAAUGGGGCUAUAACAGGAUAGGUGUUCCUGCUGCACGUGGGGGGCGGGAGAGAUUAGGCGGUUGGGGGUGGACUGCUGGCUUCUCAGCUUGUUGGUGGGGUAGUGGCUUACCAAGGCUGUGACGGGGAGCCGGCCUGAGAGGGUGACCGGCCACAGUGGGACUGGGAAACGGGCCAGACUCCCACGGGAGGCAGCAGUGGGGAAUAAUGCACAAUGGGUGGAAGCCUGAUGCAGGAACGCCGGGGGCGGGAUGACGGCCUUCGGGUUGUAAACCGCUUUCGCUCAUGACGAAGCUGUGUGUGACGGUAGUGGGUAAAGAAGCACCGGCUAACUACGUG
RNAcentral lists this ribosomal RNA (467 nucleotides) under uncultured bacterium. RNAcentral describes it as "partial 16S ribosomal RNA". It matches the Rfam family "Bacterial small subunit ribosomal RNA", at positions 28 to 507 of the family's 1533-position model. The record is from RNAcentral.